UCCUUAGUGGCUCAGAUGGUAAAGCGUCUGUCUGCAAUGCAGGAGACCUGGGUUAGAUCCCUGGGUUGGGAA
Molecule: transfer RNA, 72 nt
Filed under: Ovis aries (sheep)
Lineage: Eukaryota; Metazoa; Chordata; Mammalia; Artiodactyla; Bovidae
Rfam family: tRNA
About the family: Transfer RNA (tRNA) molecules are approximately 80 nucleotides in length. Their secondary structure includes four short double-helical elements and three loops (D, anti-codon, and T loops). Further hydrogen bonds mediate the characteristic L-shaped molecular structure. tRNAs have two regions of fundamental functional importance: the anti-codon, which is responsible for specific mRNA codon recognition, and the 3' end, to which the tRNAs corresponding amino acid is attached (by aminoacyl-tRNA synthetases). tRNAs cope with the degeneracy of the genetic code in two manners: having more than one tRNA (with a specific anti-codon) for a particular amino acid; and 'wobble' base-pairing, i.e. permitting non-standard base-pairing at the 3rd anti-codon position.
Source: Rfam by way of RNAcentral